Nyctereutes procyonoides (raccoon dog) is the source of this 7610-nucleotide long non-coding RNA. RefSeq lists it as uncharacterized. The transcript has 5 exons. Lineage: Eukaryota; Metazoa; Chordata; Mammalia; Carnivora; Canidae. The record is from RefSeq and is a predicted model, not a curated record.
AUAUGCUUUGUCUUCUGUGUGACUUCCUUUAGCAUUAUUUGCAGCACAUUUCAGUUGGUGAUGACUUCUUUAGGUUUUACUGUUUGAAUUUUUUCUUGUGGGUGAUUUCUAGUGCUCAGAAAAGAUGCAUAGUAUGACUCCUACCAUAUUGAUGUAGCCUCCUCUCUAUGAUUAACUGUGGGAAGUCUGUCCUACUGUCUUCAGUUUGUCUUCUGGGUUAUUUACACUGAUGUGGUUUUAUCAAGUUGUAUCUAUGGAUGAGGUACUAGAAGAGUCCUUGCAUGCAUGAGCUAAUCAGAACUCAAAUGAACAUUGAAAGGGACCAUCUUUCUAGAUGCUGGAAUUCUGAAAUCAAGGUUUCAGCAAGAUUGGUUCUUUCUGAGAGAUAUGAAGGAAAAUCUUUUCCAUUAGUCUCUUCUAGCUUCUAGUGAUUUGCUGACAAUCUUUGGCAUUCUUUGUUUGAUUUCUGUCUUCUGACCUUCAUAUGGCAUCUUCCCUAGGUAAAUGUUGAAAAAGAAUGUGUGCUUGUCCUGAAAGAAAAUGAACUCUAUCAGCAAAUAUAGUGUGGCUUUUCUAAAUUGAAUUGAACUAGAUCAGCAAGUGUUAUUUUUAAGAGUAUUUGUCCUAAUGUCCAUGAAAUAUUAGCAAACAAUGGAAGUUAGAUUAAUUCCAAUAACUGCAUAUUCACUGAAUACCCCCCACUCUCAUUUCUGUAGGUGUACAGGGUUCAAGUAAACCUGAACUGAAAUUUAGAAUACCUGAAUUUCCACAAUUUUCUGGUGAAAUGAGUAGUCAAGAAUUGAUUUGCAUAAAGGUUGAAACUGAUAUGAAUGAAAGUAUCAGUCCUGGUACUGGUGGUGAGAAGAUAAGGAGUGAGGAUGACAAAAUGAUAAUUUUCUCAGAUAUGGUCUUCCCACAUCCUCUUUCACUUCAACCCUUACAAUAAAUUGUCAGUGUAUUAAUGCUAGUGUUAUCCUAUUACUAAGACUAAGGAACGUAGGAUUACCAAAAUAACCAAAAAUAAUUCAGAUUAUUCAUUUAACAGUAUUUAAUAACUACUCUAUACCCCAGACUGUGCUAAGUAAUAAAUAUACGGUGGUAAAAAAAAGAGUCUGGGUUUCCCUGAAUCUUAAAAUCUAGUCAAGAGAGAAACAGUAGGAAAAAAGAAAAAAAAAAGACUUAGAUAUACUAAUUACUAAUGAAAAUAAUAAUGAUUUAUAUGAAAACAGAAGCAACUUAAUUCAGAUUGGAAGAUAUGAUAAGGGUCACUUCAAGAAGUAAACUUCAAGCUAGUAUUUGAAGAACGAGUAAGCAUUUGCCAGGAACAAGUGGAAAGAAGGAUCUUUCAGAGAAUAGGAAGGAAUAUAGACAUUGACUUAAGAAAAAAUUUAAUGUAUUCAAAUAAUUAAAAGGCAACAUGGCUGGAAUAGAAUGAUCAGGACUAAUGAGACCAUGUUGAUGAAAAAGGCCAGGGUAUGAUAAUGUAGAACAUUGCUCAGGCAUGUUUACAAUUUGGGGUUUCAUUCUAAACUACUACAAUGGCUAGUAAUUUUUAAAAGUGUAUAAAAUAAGUGUAGGACAUGGCUAACUUAACUGUUAGAAGAGAAUUGGUUGAUGACAAAAGAGGAAACAGUAAGUCAAAGCAAGAGAGUGGUGGCAAUUGGUAUCACACAGAGUAUAUAGAAAACAUAUAUACUUUUGAAGAAGCACUGGAAUCAUCAGGGAAAAGAAGAGCCAUUUUUUAUUUGAUGCAACAAGUGAAGAGAGGCAAAGAGAAAUUUCAGAGAUCCUCUAGUUCUCUGGCUCAAGGCACUAGGUUGUUUGAUGCUAAUUACCUAUGAUAAAGGAAGCAGUGUAAGGUGAAGAUUGACUCAAAGAUGAAGAGUUCAGUUUUAGAUAUGUUAAGGAACUGAAGUUGCCUGUUUGAUAUUCAUGAGAUGUCGAGGAGAAAGUGACUAAAGGUCUAGAGAUUCUAAGAGUGGCUUGAAAUGGGAGCACAAAUUUGAGAGUCGCCACCACAGAAAUGUUAUUGAAGACCAAGGAGACAGAUAGGAUCACCUAGUGAGAAAAUCUAGUACAAAAACUGAAGACAGUCCAAGACCAACCUCUGUAGAACUCCAAAAUUUAAUGAAUGUAUGGAGCACAAAGCAACUGCAGAGGAACAUUUCAGAGGUCAGAAGACAAUAGUUAAGAAAAUGUGGUGUCUAGACAACAAGAAAAAAGAGAUAUAGUGUGCUAAUGGCUAAAAGGCUAUUGCAUUUUGGUACAUAGAGGCUUCUGUGGCUUUAGAAAGAGCUGUAUUUUUGAAAAGUAGGGGGAGAAUCCCUAAUGAUAUGAAUUAAAAAGGGAAAAAUAAGUAGGAAGGUAGAAACAGUAUAGCAGAUGAUGCUUAUGAGAGACUCUGUGUUAUACAGGGAAGAAACAAAAAAGUAGAGCAGGUAUAUAUAUAUACAAUGGAAUACUACUCAGCGACCAAAAAAAAAGAAAUCUUGCCAUUUACAACAAUAUGGAUGGAACUAGAGCGUAUUAUGCUAAGUGAAAUAAGUCAAUCAGAGAAAGAUAAUUAUCAUAUGGUCUCACUCAUAUGUGGAAUUUAAGAAACAAAACAGAAGAUCAUAAGGGAAGAGAAGAACAAAUAAAACAAGACAAAAUCAGAGAGAGAGACAAACUGUAAGAGACUCUUAAUCAUAGAAAACAAAUUGAGGGUCACUGGAGGGGAGGAGGGGAGGGAGAAGAGGUAAUUGGGUGAUGGACAUUAAGGAGGGCAUGUGAUGUAAUAAGCCCUGGGUGUUAUAUACAGCUGAUGAAUCACUGAUCUCUACCUCUGAAACUAAUAAAAAAUAAAUAAAUAAAAGAUGCUUGGAAAAAAUAAAAUAAAGCAAUAACAGAUAAAUAAAGAGAUGAUUAAGUUAAAAUGAGCCCAUUUGGGUAGUUGCUACUCCAAACUGACCAGCAUCCUUUUAAGAAGAGGAAGUUUGGACACAGAGAGACACCAGGGAUAUACACAGAGGAAAGAUCAUGUGGGGACACAGGAGGGAAGUGGCUGUCUACAAGUCAAGCAGGAAGGCCUCAGAGAAACCAAACCUGCUGAUAGCUUGUUCCUGAUCUUGGACUUCUAGCUUCCAGAAAUGACACAAUAAAUCUCUGUUGCUUAGGGGAAAAAAAGGCAGAGCAGACCAGAAAGGAUAUGGAAUCAAGGAAAGUUUUGGUUUUGUCUUUUUAAAAAGAUAUGAAUUAUCAGAGCUGAUUUAUAAGUUGUUAGGGAAGAUCCUAUUGAUGAAAUAGACUGAAUAUGCAAGUGGAGAAGAAAUGCCCAAAAAGUGAAAGUCAAAAAUUAAGAGGUACUGGUAUUUGCCAAGAGUGGUACUUUCCUUUUGCUUUAAUAAAAAAGAGGAAAAGACUCAGAUGGUCCCAGCAAAUGGAAACUUGGUAAAGCUGGAUGAGAUUAUACAGAAAAGAAUGAAAGCCAAAGAUCUUCUAACAUUUUUUAGCAAAUGUGAUAUGAUCUCACUAAUUACAAAAUAUUUAAAAAUAAACCAUUAUUUGCAUAAUUUAUAUAUAUAUGCACAUUCUACUUUUUAUAAAAAUAAAAUAAACAACAAAUACCGUUAAAUAUACAAUUAAUUGGGCAAGGGAAUUGUCCUCUUUGACAUGUUGUCUUAUAAAGUAGAUCUUGUAUUAUAGCGUCUAAAUAACUUAAUUUUUUUUUUAUUUGAGAGAGAAAACCUGAGCAGGGGAGGGGCAGAGGGAGAGGGAGAAGCAGACACCCCACUGAACAGGGAGCCUGACCCAGGGCUUGAUCCCAAGACCCUGGGAUAAUGACCUGAGCCCAAGGACUUACUGAGCCACCAAGUCGCCCCCUAAAUGCCUUAAAUUUUAAGGACAGAAAUAAAAGCCCAAUUUAUGUGAAUGUCUGAGAGUACAUUUGAUGAAAUAUGCUGCUAGAAACCAUCAAAAGUUGAAGGGCUUAUGGCUCUAAUAUAAAGCCAGCUUUAUUCCAUCUGUAGAAAUCUGGUAAAUAUGCAACAAAAUAUAAUAGUCCCAAUAAAAGAUGUUGUUUUCCAUUGUUUUCCUCCCCCACAAUCUUACAUUUGCAGAGGAUUUUUGUUUGGUCUUCUCUGUUUAGAAAAAUACAUUGGCAAGGAGCUAUUACAUAAUAUUGGCUUACCAUGACAAGUCAGAAAGAAGUAACUUCUUCCUACGUUGUUUACUUUAAACAUUUAUUCUCACCUUUUUCUUUUCAUCUUUAGAUUUUGACUGAAAAAAAAUCAGUUUUAGUUCCAUUAAGAACCAAAUGACUCAUUAGGCUUAGUUGCUAUGAUAGAUUUCACUCCCCCCUUUUCUCCCUCCCUCUUUCCCUUCCUUUCGUCUUUGUUUUUUCCUUCAUUUCUUUUCUUUUCUUUUUUUUUUUUUUUUUUGACCUACCAUCCUGCCUGAAGAUUUGAAGAUGAGAAGAUGUUUAUUCCAAAAUAUCAUUCGGAAAGUUCACAUUAUUGCAAUAUUGGCUACCUGAAAAGUGAGCCUGAAUAUCUUUCAAGGCCACGUUUAAUUUUCUGAUUCAACAUCAUUCUAAAAUGAUCAAUAUCCUCAUAAAUAAGUUUGGAAUCAGGAAGAAGAGAAAACUUGUCAGCAAUUGCAUGUGUGGCCCAAUUAGCCAAGGCAACUUUGUUACUUUUCAGUUGGAUUUACUGUCUGACAUUUGUGCAGGAAGUCCAUACACUAGCUUUAUUUUGGAGUUGCACUUGGAAAGCUGCCCAGGGUAGAAAUCUUAAUUGGAGAUCCUCUGGAAUUGGCAAUACCAAGAAAUGCCAGGAUAGUUUUCCGGACAAGAGACCAAUAGGGCUGCUUGUACUAAGUAAGUUUACUUAUUUGGGACUUUUAGUAAAAUUGUAAAAAUAAGAAACUAUUAUAGAAUUAUAGAAAGGAAGACUAGUAUUUUCCAACUCAAUUAAACCUAAAUCAAUACCAACUAACUCCAAAAAGUAAUUUCAAAAAGUUAUCUUAUCUCUUCCCCUAUUUUAAACAUAUUCAUUAAACUAUAUACUUCUAUGUAAAUGGCAGCUAAAUUCCUAAAAUAUGUUAUCAAUAUUCUUAAACAUCUUCAGAAGUGAUAAUCAUGCAAUCUCCUUUCUUUGCUGCUCCAGAGAUUCAUAGUUAGGAUAUUUCUCUACUUAUAUUUAGCAAAGCAUUACAUAUUGCAACUUAAAUUGACUCCUUCUUAUUCUGACUUUAAUGAGGAUUAUCUUCCUUAAAAAUUAUCACUCAUUUUUCAGAAUCCCAUCAGAACAAAUCAAAACCAAGCCAAAUUAGAGUAGUCAACAUAUUUCUAUAGAGGUGCAGAGGAGAUUUUCUUAAUGCUUUUCUCAGCUUUUAUAAGAAAUGUAACUUAAUUGAAUUUUCAGUAACUGUCAACAUUGGUAAGGAGGAAAUUAUUACAACCUUAUAUGUAUUUUAUGAUUUCUCUGAAAUGAAAUAAUCUCAGACUGUAAUAUUAUUCUUGACAAUGAAUGACUUGGCAUCAGGAUUAAAUACAGGGAUAAAUCUACUAUUGGGAAGCUAAGACUUCAAGAAGGAAAGGGAUUCUUGAGUUAGCUUUUAAAGAUUGAGAAAAGUUCAGAAGGCAGAAAUUCUGAAUGCUAUUCUCAGUUCAGGGAACCAUGAUGUAGGGUCAUUGUGAAUAUCUCUUAAAAAUCCAUUAGUUUAUGUUGCUCCUGUCUGAGUUACUACUAGAUCCUUGUUCUCCUGUUUCUGUUAUAUUUUCCAUGUUCUCAGCAUCAGCCUACCUACUUUUUCCCUUCUGCUUUUCAUGGUGCCUGAAAUCAAGGAAGUAAUUUGGAAAGUUAUUGCAGUAGGUAUCAGGAUUCUCCCAUUUGGCAAUAUCACAUGGUUAUAUGAAAGUAUGCGUGAUGUAAUGCAAGUUAUUUGCCACCAAAAAUAAUUCAUGUCAUUAUUUCUCUUAAAAAAGGAAAAAAUGAAAGACAUAUAGAACUUGAAGAGAUAUAGAACUUCUUGUCAUGAGGGCAAGAAGAUUUGCAUUAAGCAUGUUACCAAACAUCUUCAUAAAUCUUUUGUUUUUAUUCAAGUGUAAUUAACAUAUAGUGUUAUAUUAAUUUCAGUUGUACAAUAUUGUAACUCAAUAAUCCUAUACAUUUCUCAGUGCUCAUCAAAAUAGGUGUACUCUCAAUCUCCUUUAUCUAUUUCACCCAUCCCUCUACCUACCCCUUCUGGCAACAACCAAUUUGUUGUCUAUAGUUAAGAGUCUGUUUUUCUGUUUCUCUUUUUUUGUUUGUUUGUUCAUUUGUUUUGUUUCUUAAGUUUUGCAUAUGAAUUGAAUCAUGGUAUUUUUCUCUGGCUGGCAUAUUUCACUUAGCAUUAUACCUCUAGGUCCAUUCAUGCUGUUGCACUUGGCAAGAUUUUGCUCUUUUUUUACAAGUGAGUAAUAUUCCAUUUUAUGUAUCUACCACAUAUUCUUUAUCCAUUCAUUUCAAAUGUCAUCUUUCUGGUAAGAUAGGCUUUCUAUCAGUAAGGUUAAGUAAUACUAAGUAGAAUGUGUGAGCAAGGAAGAAAAUAACUUUUAUAGAAAAAUAAUUAAAUGUUUAUAUAUAAUUUGUUGUUUACAUGUAUAUAAUUAUAUAUUAUAUAAAUUGCUACAUAUACACACACAAAAAAGACUGUAUAUGAUGUGUAUACACAAGUAUGAAUAUUUCAAAUGAUAUCCUAAACAAUUAUUAUUAUAAUUUCCUUUUUCAGAACACAACUUUCUUUUUGUUAAACACAAAAACAGAAUGUUCUUUUUCACUCUUAAGCAGAAAGUAUUUUGCAACUUCACAGGAGAGAGUCUUAGGAAUGAUAAAUCAAAUCUAAGCCCAUCGCAUAUGAUAGGAUUGUCAACAAGAUGACUUUUGGCCUUUUAUGUCAUGUUGUAAAUGAAACGGCUGCUUGACUGACUAUCUGAGAUGAAAACCAGCUGUGUAAUGGUUAGUUACUCAUUGCAUUUUAAUUAUUGCUUGCUAUCCAUAAGAGAGGAUUAAAAUUGUCAUAAAUGUUUGCUAAUUAACUAAAAAAUAUGGAAAGUAUUUUAUACUUGGAAACAUUUUUUGACCGAGUGCAUGUUGAUAUCAGAGGGAAAAAACUCUCCUACAACACUGUCCUCAGGCUAUUGUCUAAUAAAACUUCAAUUAACAAUGUGAACUUGAUCUGUAUUAGUAUUAAAAAGAUAACUCUGAGUUAAAAUUACAGCAUUUUUUUCAUUUCUAAUAUAUUUUGUUAACAAAGUAAAGAUAUCCAAUUCACAACAUCUCAGCAGAAAAUGCUCAAAGUGUUUAAACCAUUUCACUGAGGAGGUAAAAUUAGGCUUAUGUGCAAAAGGAGCAACUCAACUGAAAUUUUAAGAGCUUGAUAUGCAUAUUAAAGGCAGUGAUAAAUUAUAUUGUGGAUGUUUUUGCAUUCCAGAAACUGAGGAACAGCCCAGAUCUAUUUUUAUCUAUCAGGACUAUUGUAUAGCAAUUUGAUAGUUCCAAACAAUUAGCCAGUAUAUAUUUUUGAAAGAUAUUUUCUCUCUUUUAUUUUUCAAACUGUGAAAUGACUCAAAGAAAACUUUUGCUAAGAAA